AGAGGCAGUAGGUGUUGUGAAACAGAGAAGGAAAGGGGGCAAUAAAGAACGACAGGACGGCAAUAAGCUCGCUUUUUCUUUAAUUUGUGACGAAAUCUUCAUCGUAAAGUCAAAAAUGCCACAAAUGUGAGGAUGGAAUAUACAGCAUGUUUCUUCCUAAAAGAAAGGUAAAAGGAAAGAGAGGAGGAUUUGCACUGCAUGGCAUAUGAAUAAUGCCAGAUUCUUUCUGCAAAUACCAGCUGGUUCUGAAGUAUUUUGGUUGUGUUUAAAACCACAGUCUACCUUGGAUGACCUUUCCAGAUAAAUCGUGGCUUUUCUUCCAUCAACUGAAACCUUGAAAUGAGGAACAGCAGACAUGAUAGCGGUCAGGACUGUUUUUUUUGUGUUUUUUUUUUAUCUGUGUGUGUGUGUG
Astatotilapia calliptera (eastern happy) is the source of this 412-nucleotide long non-coding RNA. NCBI's taxonomy places the organism in Eukaryota, Metazoa, Chordata, Actinopteri, Cichliformes, Cichlidae. The record is from Ensembl.